RNAcentral lists this ribosomal RNA (158 nucleotides) under Glomus sp. R4.7. Its description in RNAcentral is "5.8S ribosomal RNA". It matches the Rfam family "5.8S ribosomal RNA". From Rfam's summary of the family: 5.8S ribosomal RNA (5.8S rRNA) is a component of the large subunit of the eukaryotic ribosome. Lineage: Eukaryota; Fungi; Glomeromycota; Glomeromycetes; Glomerales; Glomeraceae. The record is from RNAcentral.
UCACUUUCAACAACGGAUCUCUUGGCUCUCGCAUCGAUGAAGAACGUAGCGAUGUGCGAUAAGUAAUGUGAAUUGCAGUAUUCCGUGAAUCAUAGAAUCUUUGAACGCAAAUUGCACUUUCUGGUAUUCCGGAAAGUAUGCCUGUUUGAGGGUCAGUC